RNAcentral lists this ribosomal RNA (253 nucleotides) under uncultured bacterium. Its description in RNAcentral is "partial 16S ribosomal RNA". It matches the Rfam family "Bacterial small subunit ribosomal RNA", at positions 524 to 776 of the family's 1533-position model. The record is from RNAcentral.
UACGUAGGGUGCGAGUGUUGUCCGGAAUUACUGGGCGGAAAGAGCUCGUAGGUGGUUUGUCGCGUUGUUCGUGAAAACUCACAGCUUAACUGUGGGCGUGCGGGCGAUACGGGCAGACUGGAGUACUGCAGGGGAGACUGGAAUUCCUGGUGUAGCGGUGGAAUGCGCAGAUAUCAGGAGGAACACCGGUGGCGAAGGCGGGUCUCUGGGCAGUAACUGACGCUGAGGAGCGAAAGCGUGGGGAGCGAACAGG